Molecule: ribosomal RNA, 400 nt
Filed under: uncultured bacterium
Lineage: Bacteria
Description: bacterial SSU rRNA
Rfam family: Bacterial small subunit ribosomal RNA
Source: RNAcentral
UGGGGAAUUUUGGACAAUGGGGGAAACCCUGAUCCAGCCAUGCCGCGUGUGUGAAGAAGGCCUUCGGGUUGUAAAGCACUUUCGGACGGAACGAAAUUGCAAGGGUGAAUAUCCCUUGUAGAUGACGGUACCGUAAGAAGAAGCACCGGCUAACUACGUGCCAGCAGCCGCGGUAAUACGUAGGGUGCGAGCGUUAAUCGGAAUUACUGGGCGUAAAGCGUGCGCAGGCGGCUUCGCAAGUCAGACGUGAAAGCCCCGGGCUUAACCUGGGAAUGGCGUUUGAAACUACGAAGCUGGAGUGUGGCAGAGGGAGGUAGAAUUCCACGUGUAGCAGUGAAAUGCGUAGAUAUGUGGAGGAAUACCGAUGGCGAAGGCAGCCUCCUGGGCCAACACUGACGCU